ACGUAGGUGGCAAGCGUUGUCCGGAAUUAUUGGGCGUAAAGCGCGCGCAGGCGGUCCUUUAAGUCUGAUGUGAAAGCCCACGGCUCAACCGUGGAGGGUCAUUGGAAACUGGGGGACUUGAGUGCAGAAGAGGAAAGUGGAAUUCCACGUGUAGCGGUGAAAUGCGUAGAGAUGUGGAGGAACACCAGUGGCGAAGGCGACACGCUGGGCCGUACCUGACACUGAGGCGCGAUAGCAUGGGGAGCAAACAGGA
This 253-nucleotide ribosomal RNA is filed under the name uncultured prokaryote. RNAcentral's name for it is "partial 16S ribosomal RNA". It matches the Rfam family "Bacterial small subunit ribosomal RNA", at positions 525 to 777 of the family's 1533-position model. The record is from RNAcentral.